UACGGAGGAUGCAAGCGUUAUCCGGAAUUAUUGGGCGUAAAGCGUCCGCAGGUGGCACUUCAAGUCUGCUGUCAAAGACCGGGGCUUAACCCUGGAAAGGCAGUGGAAACUGAAGCGCUAGAGUGUGGCAGGGGUAGAGGGAAUUCCCGGUGUAGCGGUGAAAUGCGUAGAGAUCGGGAAGAACACCAGUAGCGAAGGCGGCUCGCUGGGCCAUUCCUGACGCUGAGACGCGAAAGCUAGGGGAGCGAACAGG
Molecule: ribosomal RNA, 253 nt
Filed under: uncultured bacterium
Lineage: Bacteria
Description: partial 16S ribosomal RNA
Rfam family: Bacterial small subunit ribosomal RNA
Source: RNAcentral